This 258-nucleotide ribosomal RNA is filed under the name uncultured prokaryote. Its description in RNAcentral is "partial 16S ribosomal RNA". It matches the Rfam family "Bacterial small subunit ribosomal RNA", at positions 524 to 780 of the family's 1533-position model. The record is from RNAcentral.
UACGGAGGAUCCGAGCGUUAUCCGGAAUUAUUGGGUUUAAAGGGUGCGUAGGCGGCCACUUAAGUCAGCGGUGAAAUUUUGCAGCUUAACUGUAACAGUGCCGUUGAUACUGGGGAGCUAGGAUUUGGUUGCUGUGGGUGGAAUGUGUGGUGUAGCGGUGAAAUGCUUAGAGAUCACACAGAAUAUCGAUUGCGAAGGCAGCUCACAAAGCCAAGAUUGACGCUGAGGCACGAAAGUGUGGGGAGUCAAACAGGAUUA